RNAcentral lists this ribosomal RNA (497 nucleotides) under uncultured bacterium. RNAcentral's name for it is "partial 16S ribosomal RNA". It matches the Rfam family "Bacterial small subunit ribosomal RNA", at positions 28 to 507 of the family's 1533-position model. The record is from RNAcentral.
GAUGAACGCUGGCGGCGUGCCUAAUACAUGCAAGUCGAGCGAACGGACGAGAAGCUUGCUUUUCUGAUGUUAGCGACGGACGGGUGAGUAACACGUGGAUAACCUACCUAUAAGACUGGGAUAACUUCGGGAAACCGGAGCUAAUACCGGAUAAUAUUUUGAACCGCAUGGUUCAAAAGUGAAAGACGGUCUUGCUGUCACUUAUAGAUGGAUCCGCGCUGCAUUAGCUAGUUGGUAAGGUAACGGCUUACCAAGGCAACGAUGCAUAGCCGACCUGAGAGGGUGAUCGGCCACACUGGAACUGAGACACGGUCCAGACUCCUACGGGAGGCAGCAGUAGGGAAUCUUCCGCAAUGGGCGAAAGCCUGACGGAGCAACGCCGCGUGAGUGAUGAAGGUCUUCGGAUCGUAAAACCCUGUUAUUAGGGAAGAACAUAUGUGUAAGUAACUGUGCACAUCUUGACGGUACCUAAUCAGAAAGCCACGGCUAACUACGUG